CAGUGUGGUGUGUGCGUUCGUCCGCGACGGAACGAGAAGAUGCAGAAGAUGCAGCCGGCCCUUCGUUUCGCUUACGAGAGAGACUCCACUUUGAUCUGCGGGCGAACGGACGAACUGAAAGGUGGCAACUCUAGUCCCAAUCGACGCGAUGCAUCGCGAUGGAAUAAUUAAACCCCGACGACCCCUACGAGACCAGGUCUAGCUCGAGAUGACCGCGAGUGCUACGGGGGUCAUUUCAAUAAUGCUACGCUGAGCGAUAAUAACAAAUCGCGCGUCUUAUCGUGGAUGGACGGCGAACAAUUGCGCCGGUCGGCCACACUGUCGGAAAGAGAUCGGGUCGUCUAAGCGGUUUUACGACUGCGUCGACCUGACCGCCGGGUCGUUUUAAUAAGGGCGAUGAUGCGCGCGUCAAUCGCCGCGAAUUUUUAUGCCUCGCCACGUUCGCCGCAGUCUUCAUCCUUCUGAGAAACGCGACAUGCUGCUGGCGCUCACAUUGUUGCGUUCCAACGGUGACACACGGGGUGAUAGGUCUUUUCUAUUUAUUCGUAUCAUCUGCCAUCCUUGCUACUUUUUUUAUUUCUCCGUUGACGUUCCUUCGAGUACAGUACAUCUAUCGCGUCUUCUGAUCGCAGGGAAUGUUAAAAUAACCGCAUAAAGGGAAGGAAUCUUAUUUGUUUGUUUUCGUCUCUUCGGGAAUCAAAGUCGCCGACGGGAAUGAACAAGAUGUUUUUUUUACGCACGCGACUGUGCAGAUUCUGAUUGAUAACGCAUUACGGCGUUAUCGUGCAAUACGUAAAUCGCGAAGCAGUUGUUUGUCACGACGAAGAUGUUAGGCAGUGAAGUUCAUCAAAGUGGAGACGCACUUGCGCGAGGCUUUCUAUUUGUUUUCAGCGCGCAAACUUCGUUCGACUAAUCCGAGCGACAUUAAUAUUCCGUAACAAUGUCUGUCUCCAUUUCGAAAGUUGUUUAUUCUAGAAUGCCGGCGUGGAACUUCUUGCAGCUAUUCCUACACGCAGGCUCUCUCUUGGUCUACCUGCUCACAAGAAACGGCUCCAUACUUAUGAGCAGGCUGCAUGUUUAAUUAAUAUUGUCGAGUGUAUAUCAUGUACCAGAUUAUUUGCCGCGCGUUAUGCAGGGGUCAUUAUUAUAUACACGGUACUAUAAGCGAAGUUCUUCUAUUUCAAACGCGUCGAUCGAUUUACACCGGCUACUCAAUUAUUUCAUACGUCUCUCUUCCGCCGGAGAACUACCUCAAAAUGAAAAAUUGACAAGAUCGAUCGCGAAUUGUCUCGAAACUAUUAAAAGCGACAUCUACAAAGUAAUUCCCCCUUAAAAGUGGAAAUGGGUCAAAUAAAUUCGAUUUGGCAAUAGCUGGUUUAAUAUAAGGGAUUCGAUAUUAGAAGAACGAGUUUCAACCGUGGAGAUGAAUCAAGUAUUUUUCCGCAUUUUCCACGACAACAAUCUUACACGCGAAAGGUAAA
Long non-coding RNA from Dinoponera quadriceps, 1481 nucleotides. RefSeq lists it as uncharacterized. Lineage: Eukaryota; Metazoa; Arthropoda; Insecta; Hymenoptera; Formicidae. The transcript is spliced from 3 exons. The record is from RefSeq and is a predicted model, not a curated record.